This 285-nucleotide long non-coding RNA is filed under the name Lathyrus oleraceus (garden pea). Its description in RNAcentral is "Pisum sativum (pea) long non-coding RNA (PSAT_LNC017487)". Lineage: Eukaryota; Viridiplantae; Streptophyta; Magnoliopsida; Fabales; Fabaceae. The record is from RNAcentral.
AACUCACCAACAUAGCAUCAUUUCAUCAAAUACAUUAACAAAUCCAUAACAUAUUCGAUUCGGGGUCUCGUCAGAACAUAAGCGAAAAUGGAACAAGCAAUAUGAACAUCAAAUCAACCAAACCAAAAGAGAAGUUUCAGACAUAGACAACCAUGGUUGCGAGCAAAAGUUUGAAAAGAAAGAGAAACAAACUGGACCUUUAACGGCGAACGUACGUUUCCGGCGAGCGAGAGGAGCGAAACUGGAUCUUGGUAAAAUGAUUUCUCCCUUUUCUUUUGCUAAUCG